UCCCGUUUUUGCAGGAUAGCCGUCGGAGC
RNAcentral lists this non-coding RNA (29 nucleotides) under Bombyx mori (domestic silkworm). The record is from RNAcentral. Lineage: Eukaryota; Metazoa; Arthropoda; Insecta; Lepidoptera; Bombycidae.